RNAcentral lists this ribosomal RNA (443 nucleotides) under uncultured bacterium. RNAcentral describes it as "partial 16S ribosomal RNA". It matches the Rfam family "Bacterial small subunit ribosomal RNA", at positions 338 to 795 of the family's 1533-position model. The record is from RNAcentral.
CCUACGGGGAGCAGCAGUGGGGAAUAUUGGGCAAUGGGCGCAAGCCUGACCCAGCACCGCCGCGUGAAGGAAGAAGGCUCCCGGGUUGUAAACUUCUUUUAUCAGGGACGAAGCAAGUGACGGUACCUGAUGAAUAAGCCACGGCUAACUACGUGCCAGCAGCCGCGGUAAUACGUAGGUGGCAAGCGUUAUCCGGAUUUACUGGGUGUAAAGGGCGUGUAGGCGGGAAAGCAAGUCAGAUGUGAAAACCAUGGGCUCAACCUGUGGCCUGCAUUUGAAACUGUUUUUCUUGAGUACUGGAGAGGCAGACGGAAUUCCUAGUGUAGCGGUGAAAUGCGUAGAUAUUAGGAGGAACACCAGUGGCGAAGGCGGUCUGCUGGACAGCAACUGACGCUGAGGCGCGAAAGCGUGGGGAGCAAACAGGAUUAGAUACCCGGGUAGUC